RNAcentral lists this long non-coding RNA (473 nucleotides) under Homo sapiens (human). RNAcentral's name for it is "non-protein coding SNHG16:7". The record is from RNAcentral. Lineage: Eukaryota; Metazoa; Chordata; Mammalia; Primates; Hominidae.
UUCUUUUCGAGGUCGGCCGCGUGGCUGGAAGACAUGGCCACUCCAGUCGGUGUUGAGCACGGCGAGCAGUCUCAGGCCUUUAGUGAUGAUGAUUAAAGGUGGUGGCUGUGGCCUUGAAAACAGUCAUGUGAAAACUCAUCACCUUAAGGUGUUAAGUGUAAGGAUCUUCAUGAUGAAAUUUCUGUAAAUGGUGUGCAGUCAGCCUCAGUUUCCAAAGCCGGAAAAGGAUCCUCUAGUAGCCACGGUGUGGCAGCUGCUCUGAACCAGGACCUGGACCCGGACCCAAAGUGCCAUGUCUUUAAUGUUAGCUCCCAGCGAUGCCAGAUGGGAUCAGCACAGCCCUGCCUCUGCUGCUAAUUGUUCCUCUAAAGUAAUCGCCAUGCGUUCUUUGGGCUUCAUCUUUAAAGGAAUGAAGCAACUGAGAUUAUUCUGGAAAACCUUUUGGCAGUUAGUGAAAUUAGAGUACAACUAAG